UCCCGCCACGAUCACUGAAGUUAAGCAACGUCGAGUCUUGUCAGUACUUAGCUGGGUGACCGCUAGGGAAUACCAGGUGCUGUAA
RNAcentral lists this ribosomal RNA (85 nucleotides) under Acanthosepion pharaonis. The record is from RNAcentral. Lineage: Eukaryota; Metazoa; Mollusca; Cephalopoda; Sepiida; Sepiidae.